RNAcentral lists this ribosomal RNA (490 nucleotides) under uncultured bacterium. RNAcentral describes it as "partial 16S ribosomal RNA". It matches the Rfam family "Bacterial small subunit ribosomal RNA", at positions 30 to 507 of the family's 1533-position model. The record is from RNAcentral.
AUUGAACGCUGGCGGCAGGCCUAACACAUGCAAGUCGAACGGUAACAGAAAGCAGCUUGCUGCUUUGCUGACGAGUGGCGGACGGGUGAGUAAUGUCUGGGAAACUGCCUGAUGGAGGGGGAUAACUACUGGAAACGGUAGCUAAUACCGCAUAACGUCGCAAGACCAAAGAGGGGGACCUUCGGGCCUCUUGCCAUCGGAUGUGCCCAGAUGGGAUUAGCUAGUAGGUGGGGUAACGGCUCACCUAGGCGACGAUCCCUAGCUGGCCUGAGAGGAUGACCAGCCACACUGUAACUGAGACACGGUCCAGACUCCUACGGGAGGCAGCAGUGGGGAAUAUUGCACAAUGGGCGCAAGCCUGAUGCAGCCAUGCCGCGUGUAUGAAGAAGGCCUUCGGGUUGUAAAGUACUUUCAGCGGGGAGGAAGGGAGUAAAGUUAAUACCUUUGCUCAUUGACGUUACCCGCAGAAGAAGCACCGGCUAACUCCGUG